GCUACUGCCAUCAGAGUUCGAUUAAGCCAUGUUUGUCGAGGGUGCUUCUUCUUCGGAAGAAGUAACCCGGCGGACGGCUCAGUAACACGUGGAUAACUUGCCCUUGGGUCCGGGAUAACCCCUGAGAAAUUGGGGACAAUACCGGAUAGGGCAUCGAUUGCUGGAAUGCACGAUGUCCAAAAGCUGAGGCGCCCAAGGAUAGGUCUGCGGCCGAUUAGGUUGUUGUUGAUGUAAUGGAUCAACAAGCCUGCAAUCGGUACGGGUUGUGAGAGCAAGAGCCCGGAGAUGGGUUCUGAGAAAAGAACCCAGGUCCUACGGGACGCAUCAGGCGCGAAAACUUUACAAUGUGCGAAAGCACGAUAAGGGAACUCUGAGUGCCUCCUAUGGAGGCUGUUCAGGUGUCUAAAAAGCACUUGAAGUAAGGGCUGGGUAAGACCGGUGCCAGCCGCCGCGGUAACACCGGCAGCCCAAGUGGUAGCCACGCUUAUUGGGUCUAAAGCGUCCGUAGCCGGCCAAGUAAGUUCUUUGGGAAAUUUAACCGCUCAACGGUUAAGCUUUCAGGGAAUACUGCUUGGCUUGGGACCGGGAGAGGUCAGAGGUACUUCAAGGGUAGGGGUGAAAUCCGUUAAUCCUCGAGGGAUCACCCGUAGCGAAGGCGUCUGACCAGACCGGGUCCGACGGUGAGGGACGAAGGCUAGGGUCGCGAACCGGAUUAGAUACCCGGGUAGUCCUAGCUGUAAACGAUGCGGGCCAGGUGUUGGCAUUACUGCGAGUGAUGUCAGUGCCGAAGGGAAGCCGUUAAGCCCGCCA
RNAcentral lists this ribosomal RNA (810 nucleotides) under uncultured archaeon. RNAcentral's name for it is "bacterial SSU rRNA". It matches the Rfam family "Archaeal small subunit ribosomal RNA", at positions 23 to 826 of the family's 1478-position model. The record is from RNAcentral.